This 275-nucleotide long non-coding RNA is filed under the name Panax ginseng (ginseng). Its description in RNAcentral is "long non-coding RNA (PGIN_LNC001722)". Lineage: Eukaryota; Viridiplantae; Streptophyta; Magnoliopsida; Apiales; Araliaceae. The record is from RNAcentral.
UAAAUGAUUAUAUAUUUCUUUGAGAUAUUAAUAUCUUUUGCCCGUAGUGCAAAGAUGCACCUAUUAGUAUGAUUAUGAACAGAAAUUGUGAUUUGGUAUAACCAUGAUCUUUGUUGUUUCAGGUAAAAAUAUGUGAUGAAAAUUAUCUUCGUCCUGAAUAAGAAGAGGAAUUUAGAACCUCAAAUAUGAUUAUGAGUUAUUCACAUGAUUGUGGACAACAACUGUUGAUUGAUUUUACAGGGAUUAAACAUUGUUGGUGGACUUUUAACAUGGAG